RNAcentral lists this ribosomal RNA (466 nucleotides) under uncultured bacterium. RNAcentral describes it as "partial 16S ribosomal RNA". It matches the Rfam family "Bacterial small subunit ribosomal RNA", at positions 339 to 795 of the family's 1533-position model. The record is from RNAcentral.
CUACGGGAUGCACCAGUGAGGAAUUUUGCGCAAUGGGGGAAACCCUGACGCAGCAACGCCGCGUGAGUGAAGAAGGCCUUUGGGUCGUAAAGCUCUGUCAACAGGGAAGAAGUUACAGCUGUUUAAUAGAUGGUUGUAUUGACGGUACCUGUGGAGGAAGCGCCGGCAUAACUCCGUGCCAGCAGCCGCGGUAACACGGGGGGCGCAAGCGUUAUUCGGAAUUAUUGGGCGUAAAGGGCGCGCAGGCGGUCUUGUCCGUCAGGUGUGAAAGCUCGGGGCUCAACCCCGGAAGUGCACUUGAAACAGCAAGACUUGAAUACGGGAGAGGAAAGCGGAAUUCCUGGUGUAGAGGUGAAAUUCGUAGAUAUCAGGAGGAACACCGAUGGCGAAGGCAGCUUUCUGGACCGAUAUUGACGCUGAGGCGCGAAGGCGUGGGGAGCGAACGGGAUUAGAUACCCUAGUAGUC